AAGUCGUAACAAGGUCUCCGUAGGUGAACCUGCGGAAGGAUCAUUACAGAGGUUUAUCCUUUUCUGUAAUUUAUAUCUGGCAUCGAAGUUUAGCAUGAGCUGAUCUGAUUUCAACCUUAUGUGGUCAAUCAGCAACGACGGGCGACCACUUCGACGCCAAAACUUUACACAACAUAACGUCUGAAGAAAAGAAUGAAAAAA
This 201-nucleotide unclassified non-coding RNA is filed under the name plant metagenome. RNAcentral's name for it is "partial contains small subunit ribosomal RNA and internal transcribed spacer 1". The stretch from base 1 to 46 matches the Rfam family "Eukaryotic small subunit ribosomal RNA", at positions 1786 to 1831 of the family's 1831-position model. The record is from RNAcentral.